GACGAACGCUGGCGGCGUGCCUAAUACAUGCAAGUUGAGCGCUGAAGGUUGGUACUUGUACCAACUGGAUGAGCAGCGAACGGGUGAGUAACGCGUGGGGAAUCUGCCUUUGAGCGGGGGACAACAUUUGGAAACGAAUGCUAAUACCGCAUAAAAACUUUAAACACAAGUUUUAAGUUUGAAAGAUGCAAUUGCAUCACUCAAAGAUGAUCCCGCGUUGUAUUAGCUAGUUGGUGAGGUAAAGGCUCACCAAGGCGAUGAUACAUAGCCGACCUGAGAGGGUGAUCGGCCACAUUGGGACUGAGACACGGCCCAAACUCCUACGGGAGGCAGCAGUAGGGAAUCUUCGGCAAUGGACGAAAGUCUGAACGAGCAACGCCGCGUGAGUGAAGAAGGGUUUCGGAUCGUAAAACUCUGUUGGUAGAGAAGAACGUUGGUGAGAGUGGAAAGCUCAUCAAGUGACGGUAACUACACAGAAAGGGACGGCUAACUACGUG
Molecule: ribosomal RNA, 497 nt
Filed under: uncultured bacterium
Lineage: Bacteria
Description: partial 16S ribosomal RNA
Rfam family: Bacterial small subunit ribosomal RNA
Source: RNAcentral